UACAGGGACAGAUUAUGAAGACUGCUCUUAUGGUACUGCAUUUGAGGCAUUUGGAGGAGGCAAUAAAGGAAGGGAGGCCUGUGAAGCUAUUGCUGCUCUUUGUGAAACUUCUGCCAUUGAUUCACUGAUAACAAAUUUCAUUAUUCACUGAUAGCUGCUCUUGGUUCGUGACAGCUCCCAUGGGGACGAUAGAGACAAGGAGCCCCUCCUGCUUUGGGGCUUCCCUGUCGCCUUCCCGAGUUAAACUUCAGUCGUAAGCCUUUUCAUGUGCUGCUCCGCCAAUGAGAGAGGUAGAGGAGACACGUCGCGAGUUUGAUAAACAAAGGACGGCACCGAAUCCGGUUGACUUUUUUUACUCUCCCUCUCCUCGAUUUGCCUCUGUUUUCACUCUAUAGAAACCGUUUAAUUGAUAUCGAGUUGAGAUUUUGAGAUGGGGAGAACACCUUGCUGCGACAGAGAUGACCUGAAGAAAGGCCCGUGGACUCCGGAAGAGGACCAAAAGCUCGUUGUCUGCAUCCAGAAGCACGGCCAAGGAAACUGGAGGACUCUGCCUAAGAAAGCUAAGUUGCCGGCUCCGGUGGACGAACUACUUCUGGCCGGACAUCAAGCGAGGAAGGUUCUCGUUUGAAGAGGAAGAGACCAUCAUCCAGCUGCACAGCAUGUUAGGCAACAAGUAGAAUUCUUCUCUAACUUAUUUUUAGUGAGAAUUCUACCUCUGUUUUCAUUCUUCUGCUCUUCCAUAUCUAUUAGCUAUUAACUUUUUGAUGUAAAAAGAAUAUUGUUUA
Molecule: long non-coding RNA, 785 nt
Organism: Zingiber officinale
Lineage: Eukaryota; Viridiplantae; Streptophyta; Magnoliopsida; Zingiberales; Zingiberaceae
Exons: 3
Source: RefSeq, a predicted model, not a curated record